UACGUAGGGUGCGAGCGUUGUCCGGAAUUACUGGGCGUAAAGAGCUCGUAGGUGGUUUGUCGCGUCGUUUUGUGUAAGUCCACGGCUUAACUGUGGGAUGGCAGGCGAUACGGGCAUAACUUGAGUGCUGUAGGGGAGACUGGAAUUCCUGGUGUAGCGGUGAAAUGCGCAGAUAUCAGGAGGAACACCGAUGGCGAAGGCAGGUCUCUGGGCAGUAACUGACGCUGAGGAGCGAAAGCAUGGGUAGCGAACAGGAUUAGAACCUACCGUAGUCAG
Molecule: ribosomal RNA, 276 nt
Filed under: uncultured bacterium
Lineage: Bacteria
Description: partial 16S ribosomal RNA
Rfam family: Bacterial small subunit ribosomal RNA
Source: RNAcentral